CCAAGUGAGGACACUUUGGUGGUGACUUAGCCAACACGAGUUGGUUUGGAGUCAGGAGGAGAAGGGGUCAGGGACCAAGACGUUCCAGAGCAUUGCCCCCAAAUCUGCUGGUCACUCUGACCCCUGGGGGAAGGGAGGCCAAAGUGGUGCAGAACUGCGUGUUUUCAGAGGACUGCAAAGCAAGGCAUCAGGAUUCCUGGCUGUAGGAAGACUCCUUGGGAUAAACAGGUGCAGACAAAAUUGGAAAGAACUGUGAAGAUUAAAGGAAUCUUUAGAAUUUUCUAGAAUGUAUGCUAUGGCCUAGAAGGAAAACAAUAAUAUCAAGUUGAGAGCGAUCUUCCAAAUGAAGUUCCACCAGAGAUUUACUGCCUAGCAUUGUUCCAAACCACUGAUGCCACCUGAAUGCCUGUGCCUUGCCUACAAAUGUCAACCAAGUCUGUUGGCCAUCUGUGCCAGCAUGCCAUACAUACUGUGAAUCUAGGAAAACCACAUAUGGGCCAUUCCUCUUUCUUUUGCUGCAGUCAGAGGAAAAACUGGUGCCUGCUGUGAUGUUCCUAAAGCUGUUUCCAGCUAUCUAUAAGCUCCUUCAACUCUCACCCCUGCUUUACCUCCUGAGAGGAGUUUAUCUUGGACUUCUUACUUCCAUUUACUCUAAGCCAUAUAGACUUCAAGAGCUGUUGAGAAAAGACAUCAACAGAUGGUAAGUUUUCUGUGACUAUGGCCAUGGAAGGCUGUCAGGUAGGGCCUGUCACUUCCAACUGUUCUCACUGAGCCUUGGCCACUGGAGACUUCCCAGCAGGAAAUCUUUCUGAUCCCUCAUCUACAAAGAGCUUAAUUUCAUGUUUGUGGGACUCUUUCUGCACCCUUGAAGCUGUAGGACACAUCUGUGAGUCAUUUGGGGCAUCCAGUCCUGACAAUGCCUCCAGUGCUCAGUUCCCCAAACAGGAACACUGGUUUUAUGUUCAGGUUGAUAGCACUUACGCUUCAGUUCUUUAGGAUGUGUAGAAAGCCACAGAUGUACAAGAAAUAAAACAGACACCAAAUUCCAACAUGCAAGCUUCUAAAAGAUUCAGAGGAAAGUACCUAUUGACUCUUGAACACUUCAUUCAGAACCAGGGCACAAAGAGGACUGAAGGGAGUAGAGAAGACACAGAAGGGGUUGGUGAAGUGGACUUGCAAAAUGUUAGUGCAUUGGGAAUCUGCUUCCAGGCACGGGGUAUAGACUUGUCCCAUACUAAGAUCAGUGAAGGUGCGUCAGGACAAACUUGGUUGAGCUAGAUGCGGGCUGGGGCAUUCUACAGCUGUGUCACAGUGUUCUUUGGUCAACCCUAGCUUGAGAAGUGAAUGCAAAUGUUGAGGGGCAGGCUGGCCCUCAGCUUUAGUUAUGAGCAAUGGAAGAGAUCUAGAUUUGGACCAGAUGGCAAUAACAUACUGUCAGGCUAAGAACACAUGUUUCCUGUACACCAAUUAUAGGUCACAGCUUGAGAGAGCUGGUAUCAUCUUAGGUCUUACCCCAGAAAUCUAUUUGGGGACAAACAGAGCUGCUGAGAGAUGCAGCUCUGACUAGAUUCCUAGAGACUGAUAUCCUACACAGGGUACUAGAAGAAUAGAGAAAUAUACCUGGGGCAAGACAGCUGUCAAGUGGAUAAUAUAUGUUCUUGUUUUUAGGGGGCUGUAUGGAGAGGAGCAGAGCCUUUUAAAGAAUCCACAAAAUAGCCAUAUGAGGAAGCAUGUAUUUUAAGCAUCUGACAGAUCCAGAAAGCUUGGAGCUGGCAGAUGACAGAAACAGUCAAUUGAGAACUUUCCUGGGACUCUCUGAUCCUAGGGAGAUCAGAAACCACCGUAGGCAAGAUGGAGAGAGCAGAAAUCAGUAGGACAGGCAACAAAGAAAACCAGCCCAGCCUCUUCCUCAAACUGGGGUCUCUUGAUGGCAGCUGGCCCUAGUGGGCAACAUUUCAACUUUAAAACAUAGUUGGAGUUUUGAAUUUUAUUCUGGACUAGAUAUAUUAAAAUACUAACUUUGAGUUGAAGUUUGUGACUUUAGAAGUAGAUGGAGAAGUUAUAAGGACCCAUCUGACUUUUUCUUUUUUACAAGGGGGAUUAAACUUGGGGCCUUCACACUGACCUAAAGGGAGGGGGAGAAUUAAUAGCACUAAGCAAAUUUAAAGACACAAUCAUAGGCAAAAUUGUUGCUAUAUAACAACAUUCCAGGAGCCCCCUUUUCAAUGUGCCCAAACCAUGUCUUUAUAGCUUGCUUCAUACGGUCAGUACAACCCAUAUAAGGUCAGGAGAUUCUAGGUGGCUGCCUUCCCUUUUUCCCCUUGGGAGUCCCCUCAGUUAAUGCAUGACUGAUGCUGAAUCUGCAGCUAUGUUAUCUUUACAACCCUGUAAACGGGAUACUCUGCAACUGUGUAAGUUUGCAACUAUGUUAUCUUUACUACCUUGUAAAGAGGAUGCUCCUUACCUGUGUGAUAUUUUGUUUCAAUUAAACUGUGUGAAACUUGCCCAACUCCCACUAGCUUAACAAAGUUCUGCUCCUGUGAAAUUCUGCUUGCACAACCACUCUCCCUGAGCUCUCCCCAAUUAGAAGAGUCACUUAAAAGGACCCUGCAACUGGCAUGAGCCACUCUCAAUCACUGGCUUAUGACAAU
Molecule: long non-coding RNA, 2651 nt
Organism: Heterocephalus glaber (naked mole-rat)
Lineage: Eukaryota; Metazoa; Chordata; Mammalia; Rodentia; Bathyergidae
Source: Ensembl